Molecule: long non-coding RNA, 3754 nt
Organism: Octopus bimaculoides (California two-spot octopus)
Lineage: Eukaryota; Metazoa; Mollusca; Cephalopoda; Octopoda; Octopodidae
Source: RefSeq, a predicted model, not a curated record
UACACCCGUUGUAAUUUAGUUAUAGUUAUCUAUAGUCCGAUGAUAUUUCGGAAUACAAUUCCUUCUUCAGAUAUUCUUAGAUGGAGUCGCUGCUAUAAUCUGUUUUCCAACGGCUUUUUUUUUUCUUUUUUCGGUAGCGUCUCAGUAGUGGUCUCACGAAGCGCCUUCCGGAAUUCCUCAUGAGAAGUGCGUGAGGUCGGCUAUGUCUCAAUCUCGUGUGUGUUGAAAAUUGGUAUUAGAUUCUUAUCGAUAUAAAGCAUAUGAAUAUUUCAUAAACUCAUUACUGUAUGUAAAAUUUUUUUUAAAUUAAAAAGAAAUUUUAAUGUUGAUACUGUAAAUAGAUAAUCUCAUUUUUGUAGGAGAUAACAGAUGAGGCUGAUGUAGCGUGAGAAUGGAGAUAGAAGUCAUUUAUGUGGUAGCAGAGCUAUGAAACUCCAUUGAGGCUGGCCUCCCACUUGUAGAAGGCUGACGUGGUUGAAGAGGAGCUGAGAUCGUUGCCGCUGAGUCAUCAAAUAUUGUCAGCAAGCUUAACAACUGCAACAUCGCUGCUAAAAGAGCUGUCGAGUUUCAGUUGUAUAUCCUCCUGGUGAUUCUUUUGAAAUAAGAUCAAAGACAAUGUGAGUAUUACAGAAUAUUGGUUUCUUUUGACAAGUCAAAAGUACAAAAUAACGCAGUCAAAGAAUUCCUUUGUAAAAGAAAGCAUGAAUUUCUUGGGCCAACGUCGCCUCCGUGGCACGUGAAAAGACAUUCGUGCGAGAUCGUUGCCAGUGCCACUGGACUGGCUCCUGUGCAGGUGGCAUGUAAAAAGUACCAUCCAAACGAGAUCGAUGCCAAGACUGCCUGACUAGCUCUUGUGCUGGUGGCACAUAAAAAGCACCCACUACACUCUCGGAGUGGUUGGCGUUAGGAAGGGCAUUCAGCUGUAGAAAUUCUGCCAGAUCAGAUUGGAACUUGGUGUCGCCUCCUGGUCCACCAGUCCUCAGUCAAAUCGUCCAACCCAUGCUAGCAUGGAAAGCGGACGUUAAACGAUGAUGAUGAUAAUGAUGAUCAUUCUCAGUAUCUCUGUAGUUACCAACAAGAACACUCUCUGCUAUGUCUCCUAUUAAUACUCGACAUCCAGGGUCCCCCUCUACGUCUUCUCGCCAGAUUCUGAUGUCGUCUUCAUUUAUAUCUCUCUCGCUUACAACUUGAAGUAUUAAAAUGAAGAUUUCGUGCCUCAAAUUCUUUAAAAUCACCUUGAUAAGAAAUAUCUUUAUUCCUAAUAUCUUUAUUCUAAGAGUGGUGAUCCCUUCAAUUGUAGGUGUGAUGUUAUGCCAUGAGGCCCACAUCUGCAUUUGCAAAAAUGUUUAUUUAGCAUGAGGUGUGCAGGGUUUUAUUUUUAACAACUUAGCUAUUUUUGAGUAAUAACCAUCAAUACAAUUCAGUUUUACCCCAUUUUCCCAGUAGAGAGUUAAAAUUUCAUUGUUAAUUAAGUCAGUUGAUAUCUUUUACGUGAUUCGAUUCCCUAGGAUGGUGUACUACGCGCUUCACUAUGCAUAAUUUUAUUACCAUUUCUAUGGCGAUUAUUAAAUACCCAUCACUAACCACGGAAUUGUCGAUACCCAUAUGUUUAACAUGUUUGGGUGCAGUACUUUGAAUUUCUGCAUCAUAAACAUUGUUACCACAGAAUCGUCGAAGACGCGGUGACGAAGUGAAAAAAAUCAUUUUAUCUCUGCCUUUGCAACGGUUCGUAUCUUUCGUAACUUUCAAACGCUUCUUUUCACUAGUAGAAGAUUGAGAAUUUGCAUCAAAAUUGUAUUUUCAAGAAAAUGCAGUGAAUCUAUCAACACUUCUUUUAAACACCAAUCUUUUCACAAACUGUUUCAAUCGAAGCACGAUUCUCUAAUUUCCUAAUAACAUCGACUUUUUUGUUCACUGAUAAGAUCACGCAUGCUUAAUCUUUUUUUUUUUUAAAUUUUCAUUGAUGUCAUGAUGCAAAACACGAGGACCAAAUGAGCCUUAUCACUGAAAUAUUAACGAAAAUUACAGGGCAACUUAACACUGUUUAUUUUUCGAUACAUGGUCAGUUGGGGACACAUUCUAUCGAGGGAGCUCUAAAAUGGAUUCAAUGUAACCAACUACAACCUAGAAGAAAAUGUUUCACCAUGGAACUAGUUUAAUGACUAACACUAAGAAAAGAAUAAAACUAUGUAUGUGUGUGUGUGUGUAAAUGUUUUGUAAAAAAAAAUACUUGCUACAGUGACAAUAAUUAAAGAAAGAUUUAAUUUGCAACUACGCGGCACAGCCAUGGGGACGAAAGUCACAUCGCCAUUUGCAACAUCAGUUAUGGAAUGUCUGGACGAAAAAUCUAGAUUUACUUUUGAUUAACAUUUCCAAUGCUAUUUAAUUGGGAAAUGGAAAAGUUUCUUAGAUGACUGCUUCAUAUUUUGGAAUUAAAAAAGUAAGGUGGGGCGUGGCUUGCAAGAUUCCUUAAAUUCAUAAACAGUAUUCAUGAAUCGAUUCAGUACACUAAGGAAAUGAAUGAAAAGGAACUCCCCUUUCUGGACAUUCUAAUAAUUAAGGAAAAUGAUAAAGUUACAACGAUCUCUGCUGCAAGAACACAGACACAACCAUAAUUAGAUUUUAGAUUUUGUCACCCUUCCCACACGAAAAGGAAUAUACAAUUCAGUGUUGCAAGACGUAUAUGUUCAAUAUUUACAGACACAAAAAGGCGAGAGAAACGAUUGGUAAAGCGAAACACGUUCCUUAAAAAACAAAAAUAUCUUAAUAGCCUAAUACAUAAUGUUAUGACCAGAGUGAAAGUAAUCUCAAAACCAGCCAACCAGAGAAACAUUCACACAGAGGUCGGAAACAAAAAUACAAAUAUUCCAUUUGUAGUCGUCCAUAAUCCUUGGGAACACAACAUUCUACAUUCGGCCAAAAGAUAUCUCCCAAUUCAACAUCAGCCAUCGAAUUUCCGACAAAUAGUUUUAAAAAAUCCCAGGUCAUCAACAGCUGCAGACAACCACCAAAUUCACAACGGGAAAGAACUAAUGAGGGUAACAAUCUGUUGAGACCCUCGAUGAGAAGCAUGUGAAAUAAUUGAACAAGGAACAACCAAAAGAUUCAAGAAAGGGAAGGAAUUAAUUGAAAGUGAAUGCAAACAUGAUUUGCGAAACAAGAGAUCUCAUCUACUGCAUCACAUGCCCACAAUGCAAUGAGAAAUACAUUGGAGAAACAAGAACAAAACUGACUAGCCGUGUGAACGUGCACCAACAGCAAGUUAAAGAGUCAUCUUUAGAAAUAUUAAAAAUCAAUAGCCGGAUGUAAAGAAAAUACGUGUGCGGCUCUAUCAAAUCAGCAAUGUAAAAUUGUAGAUUUGAUGUGUGUAUAAAUGGAUUGACUUCUGGGAUUGACCACGUGAUGUAAAUUGAUGCAGACACCUCAGAUGAGACCCCGGUGAGGGUCGAAAAUCGAUUUAAGCUAUUCGUCAUUUUUUCAGUCGAUGGAGAUCACUCAACAAAUAUGAAUACUGGAAUUAGCACAAUUUGGCUGACAAUGGAUUAGACUUAUAGUUCGAAGAAUUGUUUUAUUCGUAUGUCUAUAGAAAGUAGUGUUGCAAUCAUUUGACAGCAGCCAUGCUGGAGCACCACCUUCAGUCGAAGAAAUCAGCCCACGGACUUAUUCUUAGUAAGCCUAGUACCUAUUCUAUCGGCCUCUUAUGCCGAACCGGUAAGUUACGGAGACGUAAAUACACCAACAUCGGUUGUCAAGC